Molecule: long non-coding RNA, 249 nt
Filed under: Eucalyptus grandis
Lineage: Eukaryota; Viridiplantae; Streptophyta; Magnoliopsida; Myrtales; Myrtaceae
Description: long non-coding RNA (EGRA_LNC004394)
Source: RNAcentral
ACCGAACAAGCAUUCGAAGAUAGCAAACGAGCGGUGCCGAGCGGCCCCGACCCUCUCCACAAUUGAUUGAUCACUUAGACGAAGUCAUUCUCUUUCUAUUUCUUUCUCCCUGCGGUUCCUUGUUUUCUCGUUAUUAAGCGAAAGCUUUUGCAACCUUUUUCUUGUAUCCGAAAUACCCUCGAUUUUCUCGUCAAUACGGCGGACAACUCCUUGCGGAUUCUUGAGGGGAAAACCGGGGGUAUUUCGGCA